GACGAACGCUGGCGGCGUGCUUAACACAUGCAAGUCGAACGGAAAGGCCCUGCUUUUGUGGGGUGCUCGAGUGGCGAACGGGUGAGUAACACGUGAGUAACCUGCCCUUGACUUUGGGAUAACUUCAGGAAACUGGGGCUAAUACCGGAUAGGAGCUCCUGCUGCAUGGUGGGGGUUGGAAAGUUUCGGCGGUUGGGGAUGGACUCGCGGCUUAUCAGCUUGUUGGUGGGGUAGUGGCUUACCAAGGCUUUGACGGGUAGCCGGCCUGAGAGGGUGACCGGCCUCAUUGGGCCUGAGAUACGGCCCAGACUCCUACGGGAGGCAGCAGUGGGGAAUAUUGCACAAUGGGCGGAAGCCUGAUGCAGCAGCGCCGCGUGCGGGAUGACGGCCUUCGGGUUGUAAACCGCUUUCGCCUGUGACGAAGCGUGAGUGGCGGUAAUGGGUAAAGAAGCACCGGCUAACUACGUG
This 468-nucleotide ribosomal RNA is filed under the name uncultured bacterium. RNAcentral's name for it is "partial 16S ribosomal RNA". It matches the Rfam family "Bacterial small subunit ribosomal RNA", at positions 28 to 507 of the family's 1533-position model. The record is from RNAcentral.